GAAGAAUAAGAACACUUAGAACAGAGGGAACAGUAUAGGAACAGUAGGAACAGCUGUGUAAUAGUUUAAUUGCUGACGUAGCAUAUUUUGUGACAAUUUACAUGAAGCGUGUAUUAUAAAUAUACCGGUAUUGAAAGUGCAAAAAAACAGCAUCACUGACAAAUUUAACAGAGCAACAAGAGAAUACCAAUCAACAACCAUGGUGGAGACUGUCAAUAUGGAAUCAGGACAAACUGGAGCGAGAUUCCCAAAACCAAACGUCACGAAUUUAUGCUGCACAUCGAUAGUUCAGGGGAUCAUUAGAGGGAAAGAAGACCACUACUAUAUCCUUUCUCUGCGUACCUUGCUCUUUGCAUGCAUUCUCUUUUUUGCUUGGCCAGGAAUUCUGUUGAGUGUAGCUGCUAUCAUCAAUGCUAAAAAGGCUCAAAAACUGGACAUUGAAGGUAAUAAAACCGAGGCUGAGAGAAAGGCUUCUCUGGCUAAGAAUCUCAACAUUGCAUCUUACAUCACCUCUGGAGUGUAUUUCAUAGUGGUGUCAACAGUGCUCCCAGUGGCAAUUUCCCUUGGAAUCCUAUUCAGUCAGCUACAAUAAUGACAUACGCCUGAGGCUAUAGGUACAUGCAGCUGAUUUAGAACUACUGAAAUCAGACACUAGUUAAAUUAGUGCACACUAGAUGUAUUGAUGUAUAUUUCAUAAGAUUGGAACGUUUAUUUAAUGAAUGACAAACUGAAAUCACACGAUUAGAGUGCUUUAAAUAAAAGUGUACGUUCAUAGCUUAUCACAUCUGGCUAUCAAUAGAUUAUGACAUAGAACAAUUCCAAUUAACAACAUGGCCACACUUACAAUUUUCCCCUGUUGCCUUUCAACACCUUAAGGUGACAUAUGUUUGCGGGUAUUUCUGCGAAUGAGAGUAAAAUCGCUGUAUUUACGAAAAUGCAAUUAGAACCAUGCACUUGCGAGUAAUUAGAAACGCUAGAAUUUAUAUAGUACCAGCAAAAUGAGCUAAAAUCGCAGACAAAUCUACCUGUGAAAACAUGUCACCUUAAGGUAUUAAAAGGAGGCAUAUUCAACCCUAACCUUCUACAAGAACCUGCAGGUGCAGCGGCUAAUUAAAAUCAACAUGGAGUGAGGUAAGACAACAGGAGUUAAAACAAGGAAGUCCCUCCCCCCACGGUCCAGUCCCUGUGUUUAACCAUAACCACCAUCUGUGAGGGCUUCAGGAAGGGCAAGGAGGAUCACUACUACGCUCUCUCCAUUCGCAACACUAUUGUGGCAGCUGUACUGUUGGCAAUGCUCUUCAGCGAGGCAGCCAUCUUCAAUGCAAAUAAAGUACUUCUAUGCACACACAUUUACAGUUUCUAUUUUAGUAAACACGUCAUGCAUGAUUGCUACAACAAGCUAUCAAAAGACUAUAGAAUGUGACCCAUGCCAUAACUGAAUACUUGAAGAGGUUUCUCUUUAUUGCGUUUAAUCGAAGAACUCGUAUUCUGAUGUGCAUUGAAUGUACGAACUUACUGUUCCCUUUGUUCCUAGCAUAGCAUUCCUAAACUAUUCCUUUUUUAUUGUUCCUACUGUUCUUAGUGUUGCUGUUCUUAGUGUUGCUGCUGUUCCUACUGUUCUUAAUGUACCUGUGACCAUACUAUUCCCAUGCAGUGUUCUAAAUAUUCCUACUGUUUCCCCUGAUGUUCCUAGGAACAGUAUAGGAACGGAAGAGUAAGAACACGUACUUAGAACAAAGGGAACAGUAGGAACCAUAAGAAUAGCUGUUUAAUAGUUAAAGGCUGACUUAGCAUAAUUAUUUUGUGACAAAUACAUGAGCAUUAUAAGUAAUUGAAAGUGUAAAAAAAAAAACAUCACACUGAACAACAUUGAUAAUGGAGCGGAGCAUCCAAACAAAUUUUCAAUGAUUAUGUAGAUUAUAAGUAUUUAAUGGGGUGAACAUGCAGUGAGGUAGGUUCACGGGCAAGCACAGAGCAACAAGAGGAUACCAUUCAACAACCAUAAUUAUACAAGUGGAAACUGUCAAUAUGGAAUCAGGACAAACUAGAUUUCCAAAACCAAACCUCGAGAAUUUCUGCUGCGCAUCGAUAGUUCAGGGGAUCAUUACAGGGAAAGAAGACCACUACUAUAUCCUGUCUCUGCGUACCUUGCUCUUUGCAUGCAUUCUCUUUUUUGCUUGGCCAGGAAUUCUGUUGAGUGCAGCUGCUAUCAUCAAUGCUAAAAAGGCUCAAAAACUGGACAUUGAAGGCAAUAAAUCCGAAGCUGAGAGAAAGGCUUUUCUGGCUAAGAAUCUCAACAUUGCAUCCUACAUCACCUCUGGAGUGUAUUUCAUAGUGAUAUCAACGGUAUUCCCAGUGGUACUUUACAAUGGAAUCAGGCUAUACGUACGUAUACGCAGCUGAUUUGGAAUAAAGAAUUAAUACAGAUAAUAGAGUUAGUGCACACUAGAUGUAUUGAUGUGUGCGUAUGCAUGGAUAUUUCAAUUUAAGAAUUGGAAAGUUUAUUUAAUGAGUGACAAACUGAAAACACACAAUCAGAGUGUGCUUUCAUUAUAGUGUGUACUUUCAAGAGAAUUAUCAGCAAAACAAGACGUAUUCACCCCGUGUGUUGAGCUUCAUUGCAUGUGCACAGUGCAAAGUUAACUUUUCACGGUAAUGACCUUAUUAUCAUUAUCGUGAAUCUAUGAAGCAAGGAUUAGAAAACAGUGUUUUUUGUCGUCUUUGACGACCGCCUACAAGUUUCAACCUAUAGCAGUCCAUGAAAGUGUCUAGCUCGCUCAAACGGCUCAUUUUUUGUGUCCACACACACACACACACGAGUCAAAACGGUAUGCUUGAGCGGGCACGGUUCCAUCCAACCCAGUUAGCCUAGUGCUUACUAUCCCCCUUCCAAACACACACAAAUCGACACACACACCAAUAACUCUACCCUGCUGCGCGCUAUGCACGUACGGGGUAAUAAAGUGCAUUAAAGCAUAGCAAAAGCAAAUAUAGAAUUUGCAAUUAAUGGUGCUACAAUAAUUUUCAGUUUCAACAACAUGGCCACACUCACACAUGCAUGUACAUGAACUUUCCCCUAUUACUAUUCACAGAAUAUACUAAAGAAAGGGAUAUUCAACUCUAACUAAAACAAUCUUCUACAAGAAUUAAACGUAACAAGUGUAGUGAUCAGUAAAGAAGUAAUAUCAUGUAAAUUGUCACGAAAUAUGCUAAGUCACCAUUUAAAAUAUUAAACCGCAGUUCCAUUCCUACGAUUCCUACUGUUCCCUCUGUUCCCUGUGUUCCCUCUGUUACUACUAUUCCCUGUGUUCCCAGCGUUCCCUCUGUUCCCUGUGUUCUUGCUGUUCCCUCUGUUACUACUGU
Long non-coding RNA from Halichondria panicea, 3363 nucleotides. RefSeq lists it as uncharacterized. The transcript has 6 exons. Lineage: Eukaryota; Metazoa; Porifera; Demospongiae; Suberitida; Halichondriidae. The record is from RefSeq and is a predicted model, not a curated record.